Molecule: long non-coding RNA, 231 nt
Organism: Telopea speciosissima
Lineage: Eukaryota; Viridiplantae; Streptophyta; Magnoliopsida; Proteales; Proteaceae
Exons: 3
Source: RefSeq, a predicted model, not a curated record
GAUUAAUCAACUCAACUAUACUAUUUCCCAACCAGACGAGAGAGCACUCAUCAUUGUCAGAAAGAUAAGGAAAACAAGAAAUUGAUUGUUAAUGCAUGUACCAGAUAUAGAGGACGGACACACCUGACUUUGGCAAUAUUUGGAAAAUUUAACUCUCCACCAUCAAAGCAAUGUUGUACGAUGCCUUGUUCUCCUUCAUUCUUUACAAUGCGUUCAGCUUUCCAAUGUCUU